GAUUAAGUUAUUAAGGGCGCACGGUGGAUGCCUUGGCACUAGAAGCCGAUGAAGGACGUUACUAACGACGAUAUGCUUUGGGGAGCUGUAAGUAAGCUUUGAUCCAGAGAUUUCCGAAUGGGGAAACCCAGCAUGAGUUAUGUCAUGUUAUCGAUAUGUGAAUACAUAGCAUAUCAGAAGGCACACCCGGAGAACUGAAACAUCUUAGUACCCGGAGGAAGAGAAAGAAAAUUCGAUUCCCUUAGUAGCGGCGAGCGAAACGGGAAGAGCCCAAACCAACAAGCUUGCUUGUUGGGGUUGUAGGACACUCUAUACGGAGUUACAAAGGACGACAUUAGACGAAUCAUCUGGAAAGAUGAAUCAAAGAAGGUAAUAAUCCUGUAGUCGAAAAUGUUGUCUCUCUUGAGUGGAUCCUGAGUACGACGGAGCACGUGAAAUUCCGUCGGAAUCUGGGAGGACCAUCUCCUAAGGCUAAAUACUCUCUAGUGACCGAUAGUGAACCAGUACCGUGAGGGAAAGGUGAAAAGCACCCCGGAAGGGAGUGAAAUAGAACCUGAAACCGUGUGCUUACAAGUAGUCAGAGCCCGUUAAUGGGUGAUGGCGUGCCUUUUGUAGAAUGAACCGGCGAGUUACGAUUUGAUGCAAGGUUAAGCAGUAAAUGUGGAGCCGUAGCGAAAGCGAGUCUGAAUAGGGCGUUUAGUAUUUGGUCGUAGACCCGAAACCAGGUGAUCUACCCUUGGUCAGGUUGAAGUUCAGGUAACACUGAAUGGAGGACCGAACCGACUUACGUUGAAAAGUGAGCGGAUGAACUGAGGGUAGCGGAGAAAUUCCAAUCGAACCUGGAGAUAGCUGGUUCUCUCCGAAAUAGCUUUAGGGCUAGCCUCAAGUGAUGAUUAUUGGAGGUAGAGCACUGUUUGGACGAGGGGCCCCUCUCGGGUUACCGAAUUCAGACAAACUCCGAAUGCCAAUUAAUUUAACUUGGGAGUCAGAACAUGGGUGAUAAGGUCCGUGUUCGAAAGGGAAACAGCCCAGACCACCAGCUAAGGUCCCAAAAUAUAUGUUAAGUGGAAAAGGAUGUGGCGUUGCCCAGACAACUAGGAUGUUGGCUUAGAAGCAGCCAUCAUUUAAAGAGUGCGUAAUAGCUCACUAGUCGAGUGACACUGCGCCGAAAAUGUACCGGGGCUAAACAUAUUACCGAAGCUGUGGAUUGUCCUUUGGACAAUGGUAGGAGAGCGUUCUAAGGGCGUUGAAGCAUGAUCGUAAGGACAUGUGGAGCGCUUAGAAGUGAGAAUGCCGGUGUGAGUAGCGAAAGACGGGUGAGAAUCCCGUCCACCGAUUGACUAAGGUUUCCAGAGGAAGGCUCGUCCGCUCUGGGUUAGUCGGGUCCUAAGCUGAGGCCGACAGGCGUAGGCGAUGGAUAACAGGUUGAUAUUCCUGUACCACCUAUAAUCGUUUUAAUCGAUGGGGGGACGCAGUAGGAUAGGCGAAGCGUGCGAUUGGAUUGCACGUCUAAGCAGUAAGGCUGAGUAUUAGGCAAAUCCGGUACUCGUUAAGGCUGAGCUGUGAUGGGGAGAAGACAUUGUGUCUUCGAGUCGUUGAUUUCACACUGCCGAGAAAAGCCUCUAGAUAGAAAAUAGGUGCCCGUACCGCAAACCGACACAGGUAGUCAAGAUGAGAAUUCUAAGGUGAGCGAGCGAACUCUCGUUAAGGAACUCGGCAAAAUGACCCCGUAACUUCGGGAGAAGGGGUGCUCUUUAGGGUUAACGCCCAGAAGAGCCGCAGUGAAUAGGCCCAAGCGACUGUUUAUCAAAAACACAGGUCUCUGCUAAACCGUAAGGUGAUGUAUAGGGGCUGACGCCUGCCCGGUGCUGGAAGGUUAAGAGGAGUGGUUAGCUUCUGCGAAGCUACGAAUCGAAGCCCCAGUAAACGGCGGCCGUAACUAUAACGGUCCUAAGGUAGCGAAAUUCCUUGUCGGGUAAGUUCCGACCCGCACGAAAGGCGUAACGAUUUGGGCACUGUCUCAACGAGAGACUCGGUGAAAUCAUAGUACCUGUGAAGAUGCAGGUUACCCGCGACAGGACGGAAAGACCCCGUGGAGCUUUACUGUAGCCUGAUAUUGAAAUUCGGCACAGCUUGUACAGGAUAGGUAGGAGCCUUUGAAACGUGAGCGCUAGCUUACGUGGAGGCGCUGGUGGGAUACUACCCUAGCUGUGUUGGCUUUCUAACCCGCACCACUUAUCGUGGUGGGAGACAGUGUCAGGCGGGCAGUUUGACUGGGGCGGUCGCCUCCUAAAAGGUAACGGAGGCGCUCAAAGGUUCCCUCAGAAUGGUUGGAAAUCAUUCAUAGAGUGUAAAGGCAUAAGGGAGCUUGACUGCGAGACCUACAAGUCGAGCAGGGUCGAAAGACGGACUUAGUGAUCCGGUGGUUCCGCAUGGAAGGGCCAUCGCUCAACGGAUAAAAGCUACCCCGGGGAUAACAGGCUUAUCUCCCCCAAGAGUUCACAUCGACGGGGAGGUUUGGCACCUCGAUGUCGGCUCAUCGCAUCCUGGGGCUGUAGUCGGUCCCAAGGGUUGGGCUGUUCGCCCAUUAAAGCGGUACGCGAGCUGGGUUCAGAACGUCGUGAGACAGUUCGGUCCCUAUCCGUCGUGGGCGUAGGAAAUUUGAGAGGAGCUGUCCUUAGUACGAGAGGACCGGGAUGGACAUACCUCUGGUGUACCAGUUGUCGUGCCAACGGCAUAGCUGGGUAGCUAUGUGUGGACGGGAUAAGUGCUGAAAGCAUCUAAGCAUGAAGCCCCCUCAAGAUGAGAUUUCCCAACUUCGGUUAUAAGAUCCCUCAAAGAUGAUGAGGUUAAUAGGUUCGAGGUGGAAGCAUGGUGACAUGUGGAGCUGACGAAUACUAAUCGAUCGAAGACUUAAUCAA
Molecule: ribosomal RNA, 2921 nt
Filed under: Staphylococcus aureus
Lineage: Bacteria; Bacillati; Bacillota; Bacilli; Caryophanales; Staphylococcaceae
Description: 23S ribosomal RNA
Rfam family: Bacterial large subunit ribosomal RNA
Source: RNAcentral